UCCUAGCCCCGAUUGUCCCGAAAUUUCGGGAGAAAUCCUUUUUAUUUUUUCUUAAAAAAAUAAAAAAAUUGAAAUGGAAAGAGGGAUUAGCU
Molecule: small RNA, 92 nt
Filed under: Flavobacterium phragmitis
Lineage: Bacteria; Pseudomonadati; Bacteroidota; Flavobacteriia; Flavobacteriales; Flavobacteriaceae
Description: Flavo-1 RNA
Source: RNAcentral